AGGGAAUCUUCCACAAUGGACGGAAGUCUCAUGGAGCAACGCCGCGUGAGUGAUGAAGGUUUUCGGAUCGUAAAACUCUGUUGUAAGGGACGAACCACUACGUCAGGCAAUGGACGUACCUUGACGGUACCUUAUUAGAAUGCCACGGCUAACUCCGUGCCAGCAGCCGCGGUAAUACGGAGGAUGCAAGCGUUAUCCGGAUUUAUUGGGUUUAAAGGGAGCGUAGGCGGACUAUUAAGUCAGCUGUGAAAGUUUACGGCUCAACCGUGAAAUUGCAGUUGAAACUGGUCGUCUUGAGUGCAGUAAAGGUGGGCGGAAUUCGUGGUGUAGCGGUGAAAUGCUUAGAUAUCACGAAGAACUCCAAUUGCGAAGGCAGCUCACUGGAGUGUAACUGACGCUGAUGCUCCAAAGUGUGGGUAUCAAACA
RNAcentral lists this ribosomal RNA (426 nucleotides) under uncultured Bacteroidota bacterium. RNAcentral's name for it is "bacterial SSU rRNA". It matches the Rfam family "Bacterial small subunit ribosomal RNA", at positions 356 to 774 of the family's 1533-position model. The record is from RNAcentral. Lineage: Bacteria; Pseudomonadati; Bacteroidota.